RNAcentral lists this ribosomal RNA (418 nucleotides) under uncultured bacterium. Its description in RNAcentral is "bacterial SSU rRNA". It matches the Rfam family "Bacterial small subunit ribosomal RNA", at positions 917 to 1338 of the family's 1533-position model. The record is from RNAcentral.
GGGCCCGCACAAGCGGUGGAGCAUGUGGUUUAAUUCGAUGAUACGCGAGGAACCUUACCAGGGCUUAAAUGUAAGUUGCAUUAGUUAGAGAUAGCUAUUUCUUCGGACUACUUACAAGGUGCUGCAUGGUUGUCGUCAGCUCGUGCCGUGAGGUGUCAGGUUAAGUCCUAUAACGAGCGCAACCCCUACUGUUAGUUGCCAACGGGUAAUGCCGGGGACUCUAGCAGAACUGCCAGCGCAAGCUGAGAGGAAGGUGGGGACGACGUCAAGUCAUCACGGCCCUUACAUCCUGGGCCACACACGUGCUACAAUGGUAGUGACAGAGGGCAGCCACUAUGCGAAUAGGAGCUAAUCUUUAAAACCGAUCUCAGUUCGGAUCGCAGUCUGCAACUCGACUGCGUGAAGCUGGAAUCGCUAG